CGUUGGCUGCUGUGUUUGACAUCGCACACAGCUCCUCCUACUUUCAGUUCCGUUGUCUGACAAAUUCGCUUUCAAAACACUAAAGGAAACAAAAUAAUAUAUAUUUAUCUAGCCAAAUUAUUAAUUAGAAACAUAAAAGGGAUCGGAGUUUUCAUAUUUCUUUUUUAUUCGAUUUAUUUGUAUUUAUCUGGACGUCGUAUUUUUUGGCCGACAGGAAGUGAAAUCAUCACACGUUUCGUGCUGACUUUCAGUUGGGAAGGUGCACAGAGAGACGGAGCAAGCAUGUUCGCACUAGUAAAGUGGGUAAAUGGCGAUGAUGACGGUAAAUUGAGUGUAAUUCCUACUGAGUGGAUUAAAGGAUUUAAUAUAGAGGAUUUUGAAGAAGAAGGCGACGAAGAUGAGCGCCAUUAUGUCGCAGAGUGGAGAAGAGGGAGUAAACGACCACGUGAAGGAUGGCAAGCUUUCGAUUGUGAAGUGGAGAAAGUGGGAGAAAGACAGUUGGAACUUGUUCAAAUGCAUGAUGCAAUGACAAGAGCAGAAGAGACUCCAGCUUUGAAAAGAAAGAAAUUUCAAAAUAGCAGAUAUGCUGAUGACUCCAGCAGUGACACCAAAGACACUCAAGUGUGCCAGGUUACAGUCUUCUACGCCUGAGGGAAUCUGCCAUUAAUACUGGGUUUUAAUUUGCAAUUAGGCCCUAGGUAGGAAGCAGUAUCUGUCACAGAAGGCUACAAGUGGACGCUGUUGAUGCUAUCCCUGUGAUAUUGGACAAAAUUGAGGAGCUAGGAAAGAGGGACAACUCUGGUCCUACUGACCACUCUAUUGACAGUGAGGCAAAUUGUCUUUGUGGAAGUCCACGGUAUGCUGCGUCGUCUGCAGGAUCAACUGUGUCCAUAUCCUCAAUUCCUCAAUCACAAGGAAAUGGAAGACAACUUGACAAGGUGGAAAUUCAUCCAGGAAGUGGAGUGUAUAUAGACCAGCUGGCUUGGACAAUAACAAAUAAGGCUACUUCCUACACUUCAUUUGUGAGAAAUGCUAUGCUCUCUGUGUUUGACAUUGAAACUUUAGUAAAAAGUAAUUUACGUGGUGGAAGUGGCAAACGACAGAAACAUGGGGAAAGAAGAGAGGCCUUGGAUCCCAACAAAGUGAAUGCC
Long non-coding RNA from Acipenser ruthenus (sterlet), 1151 nucleotides. RefSeq lists it as uncharacterized. The record is from RefSeq and is a predicted model, not a curated record. NCBI's taxonomy places the organism in Eukaryota, Metazoa, Chordata, Actinopteri, Acipenseriformes, Acipenseridae. The transcript is spliced from 5 exons.